UCCUCCCUCCCUACCCGAUCCACUUUCCUUUCUCCCUCUCUCUCUCGCAUGCUCUCUGCUAGCCCGAAUGGCUGCCCUCCGAUGGUCGCCGCCGUGUAGGCACCGGAUCAAGAGUACCAGACACCGCCGAAACUCCAGCCUCACGAGCCCUUCGUUGCCGUUCUCCGCCGCGAGCAGAAGCCUCCAGGCUCGUACGUCACCGCCGUGGCUUCAAGGCCAAUUUCUGGCCUCCUCUGACAUCGUCUCAGGCGAAGGGUACCAUGGGUGAACUCAGGGUAUCAAGACGAACAAAGCCCAUCCAAGGAUCGGGCUUUUAAGUGACCGAAGGAGACAGAAUCAGCUCUCCAUUUGCUGCUUGUAGUCUUCUUCUCGAGACCAAGUUCUAAAUGUCAUGUUCAUCCACAUGAGAGGGGUAUAGUUGAUUUCCACCCUAUAUAUUUCCAUUCAAAUGAGGCUAGUGGAUCUAUGAAACCAAUUACUUAUGGUUCCAUAUAAUUAACGACAGUUGACCAAUCAAGAUUUAGAAGGACUCGAGUUACUGAGGGUGGUAUGAUUCUUUUUGCAGCCAUCAUUGUUGUGCCUGCUCUUAUUAUGACUUUUAUUUGUGAAUGUGUUUUGAUUAUUAGGAAAGAUCUCCUUUUGAAAA
This is a long non-coding RNA of Humulus lupulus (European hop), 646 nucleotides long. RefSeq lists it as uncharacterized. The record is from RefSeq and is a predicted model, not a curated record. Lineage: Eukaryota; Viridiplantae; Streptophyta; Magnoliopsida; Rosales; Cannabaceae. The transcript is spliced from 3 exons.